GGACUACCCGGGUUUCUAAUCCCGUUUGCUCCCCUGGCCUUCGUGCCUCAGUGUCAGGAACUGCCCAGAGAUCCGCCUUCGCAACUGGUCUUCCUCACGAUAUCUACGCAUUUCACUGCUACACCGUGAAUUCCGAUCUCCUCUACAGUCCUCGAGUCACGCAGUAUCCGGUGCAAUUUCGGAGUUGAGCUCCGAGAUUUCACACCAGACUUGCAUCACCACCUACGCACCCUUUACGCCCAAUGAAUCCGAACAACGCUUGAGACCUCUGUAUUACCGCGGCUGCUGGCAC
RNAcentral lists this ribosomal RNA (292 nucleotides) under uncultured Verrucomicrobiota bacterium. RNAcentral describes it as "uncultured Verrucomicrobia bacterium partial 16S ribosomal RNA". The record is from RNAcentral. Lineage: Bacteria; Pseudomonadati; Verrucomicrobiota.